UUGAGCUAUGACAACGGAAUUCCUUGAUAAUGGAAGUUCUAUUUCUGGUACUUUCUCACUUUCUCACCAUGGAGUUGCUGACACCCUAUUCUACUGGCAUUUGUAUGGUGUAUGUGUUCGAUUAUCAGUCAAGCUUAAGGAUCGACGUGCAGAUGCUAUCUCCAUUCGUUGUAUAAAAGCUCAGGUGGCAGAGCACCCCACUGGAUCUCAGCGCUCCGAACCAUUGACAGAGCAAGCCGGGAUACUGUCGUGAAUGCUGAUCCUUAUUAUUACCAGAGUGAAAAGAAGCUGUAGAGCUUGCAAAAGGUCUUUCCUGUAGAUGUGAGUACUGCUGGGAUGUCUGUUGGACUUCAACAAAUACAGUAAAGACUUAAAAAUUACCACUUGUCUGGGAUGAGAAGAAUUUAUUGGGUGGGAUCUAACUGAAUGAUUGUUUUCUUGAGAUAGCCUGAAUGUGAAUGAAAAUUAUUUUUAUUGAGGUUCUUGGGAUAUGUUUUAGCCAAAAGUACUUAUCAUUUCAUUUCACUAUAACUGAGUCAAUCUGGC
RNAcentral lists this long non-coding RNA (546 nucleotides) under Anser brachyrhynchus (Pink-footed goose). RNAcentral's name for it is "lncRNA (ENSABRG00000013295.1)". The record is from RNAcentral. Lineage: Eukaryota; Metazoa; Chordata; Aves; Anseriformes; Anatidae.